AUUGAACGCUGGCGGCAGGCCUAACACAUGCAAGUCGAACGAGUGGCGGACGGGUGAGUUAUGUCUGGGAAACUGCCUGAUGGAGGGGGAUAACUACUGGAAACGGUAGCUAAUACCGCAUACCAUCGGAUGUGCCCAGAUGGGAUUAGCUAGUAGGUGGGGUAACGGCUAACAUAGGCGACGAUACCUAGCUGGUCUGAGAGGAUGACCGACCACACUGGAACGGAGACACGGUCCAGACUCCUACGGGAGGCAGAAGAGGGGAUUAUUGCACAAGGGGCGCAAGCCUGCUGCAGCAAUGCCGCGUGUAUGAAGAAGGCCUUCGGGUUGUAAAGUACUUGCAGCGGGGAGGCGUUACCCGCAGAAGAAGCACCGGCUAACUCCGUGCCAGCAGCCGCGGUAAUAC
RNAcentral lists this ribosomal RNA (406 nucleotides) under uncultured bacterium. RNAcentral describes it as "partial 16S ribosomal RNA". It matches the Rfam family "Bacterial small subunit ribosomal RNA", at positions 30 to 526 of the family's 1533-position model. The record is from RNAcentral.